GGAAAUGAAGAAGUGGGUGGGAAAGGGAAAACUACUAGGGUGGAGGUUUGGGAAAAUUCCUCAGUCUUUUCACGACAUCAAACUGUUCAACAUGGUAGGUCAUCAGGAAAAACACAAAAAUCCUCCCCCUUGUGGAAUUUACCACUGGCGGGCUCGAUACCGUGCCCUCUGGCUCCGGCACCAUGUAAACGGGCGGGGCAACAAGAGGCUGUGGUUUGCUCAGGCUCGAAGAUGACACACUGAGGCAGGUGUUGUGAAGGAUUACACAACCUGGAUAGGGUCUUCAUGCAAAGAACCAAACCAAACAAAAACAAAAACAAAAACAAAGUCCACCAAGCUGUGAAAGGAAAGUGGCUGUUUAAGAGAGGAACGGUGCAGAGGGUUGCCCACCCCUCGAGAACCGCUAUCAGACGCUUUAACAAAAUCCACCCAGCCUGAAACAACAUGCAAGGCAACUUCUGUUUUGCCGUGUUUGUUUGUUUGUUUGUUUGUUUGUUUUUAAGGCUUACUAAAUAGCCAAGUCUGGCCUGGGACUUGUAAUCCUCCCAUCUCAGCUUCAUGACUGUUUGGCUUUUGGCAUGCAUCACUGUGCAUAACCCACAACACUGUCUAUUCUGUAAGGCUCAACAUUCCUUUUCCGUUUUUUAAAAACUGCAUAGCCUUCAGUUGGCUAUUCACAUUCCCCCCUGUUUUCACUACUUUUUUUUUUUUUUUUUUUUUGAUAGGUUCCAGGUAGGUAGCUUGCUUGUUCUUUUUGCCUUAGCUUCUCAAGGACUGGAAUCUCCUGUGUACCACCACACCCACACCUUCACGUUUCUCAAACAUUCCUUUCCCGUAUUUCCAGCUACUUGUUCUUUUCCCGAUACAGAUAAUGAUCACCUGCUGUCUAAUACUUUCCAUAAGAAUAGAGUGAAGAACCAGGAAAACUUGAUCCUUUCCCAUUCUCCAAUCCCCCAUCUCGCUGUGACUCCAGCGUUGGACCCUGAAGGACCGGCUGUGGCCCUGAGUAUGUGUACAGAGAAGCCUGAGAAGUUAGUGCAGAGACAGAGCGUGAAAGGGCUUUAGAAUCAUGCCUGGUAAAGCUCUCUGGGCUGCUAAGAAAUGGAGUACCACGCAAAGACAUUAAGUCACAAUAACACCACAAACAUCCUCAAGUAAACCCUUUGCUAACUGGCCUCUAAACAUGUUGCCUGCCACCGUGAAGUCAAGUCUGAUGAGAGGACGUUGGAGUGGAAUGACACUUACACACUGUGAUUUAACCUCAAAGUGUGACUCAUUUGUCUCACUUCUACUAAUUUUUAGACUUCUGACUGGGUGGACACAUUGGCGACAAUCUUCCCAGUCCAGGAUCCUUGAAGAAGACCCCGGAAGAUGAGAGCCCUACCAUAUUGCCAUUGCUAGCAGGUUUGCAUGAGGUUUUGAGGGAAUUUGAGCAAGUGGUUUACUCUCCUGACUCAGUUUAGACUUCUGUCUAUUCUGCUGCAUUCUUGCCAGGGUCAAAUAAGCAUAUCUAUAUUUCUAUGUGAUUUUGAGCAAGUCACUCUGUGUUUUUUUUUUUUUGUUUUUUUUUUUGGCAUCUGCUUGCUCUGAGUUCUUGUGAGAGUCAAUAAGAGUAUACAACUGCCUCACAAAACAAAACGCAGGCUCAGCUGUUUUUCUGAGUUACCAGGCUCAGCACCUGGUCUGUGUAGAACACGGUCAAGUUGGUGAGUCGUUUGAAGAGAUCAGUGCAAGGAGAACUAACUCCUAUUCUCUAUUUAGAUUUGUCAAGUAAGAAGUAACCCUCCAUGCCCAGCAGGAUUCACAAUCAGCAGAAAACAAAAAGCUCGGAGGAGGGAGGUUCCCACGGGGAGCACCGUGCUCAGGGAGACCUCGAGCCAUCUCAGCUGAUAAACUGGAUCUACAAAAUCAGAUCGAGACUGUGCCACAUACUCCAUCCUUUUGGCUCUUCCUUGUGCAGCACAUGGCUGGUCUGGAGCGCAGGGCCGUGCUGGGAUCCCACAGCUUUGACUCCUGGCCUUAUUAGACAGACCAAGUUUCCCUACUCUGAAGAAAUGACUGGCAUCUCACUCUUCUUUCACGGUCCUCCACGGUUGCCAGGGUCUGCUGUCUCAGGUCCUCCCAACUUGAUGUCGAAUGUGGCUUUGUAUAGCAUGAGCACCCAUAGGGACUUUUUGAUUUUAUUUGGUUGUCUGUUCUUCUUCGACAGGGUGUCUCUGUUUUUCUCAUGGCUGUUCUGGAACUCACUCUGUAGACCAGGCUAGCCUCAAACUCACAGAACUCUGCCUGUUAAAGUUGCCACAGCCUGGGCUUUCUCCAACAGCAGUGUUGAGCCUCCCCUUUCAGAGCCUCUGUUAAUGAUGCUGUGGGUAAUGGCUUUCAAGGACAUCCAGUGUCCUUCCCAAGGGCAAAAGCCUUUGGGAAUCUUGACAGAACAUCGGGCAAGAACCAAAUGUUUUCAUGACAGAACAAAAAUCAGUCCUGCACAGCCAAGCACGGUACUCUUCUUGAAUGAGGUGAGACAGCUGUUCACGCUCAUGAUUAGCCAGGCCAGCACAGGUAGCUCCUCUCCACCUCUCACAAGCUGCCUUGGCUUUGGUGUUUCUCUUCACUGAAAGUAGCGAGGUAACAUUGCAUGAACUGUCAAGGGAGUGUUGGCAGAAGGAAGAUGUCUGCCAUGGGGUGAAUGUAGGACCUGGAAGAAGGGCAGCCACCAACCCCCUAGGUCAUCCCAUUCCUAGGUCUCUGCAGGGAACCAUUAGAAUCAGGAAACAAAUGACUCUCAAGAGGAGAUAGUAGAGACAAAUUUCCAUUUCCACUGAGGGAGGGAAACAGGCCCCUGAGCCUAAAAUUGCUGUCUUUAGACUUUUUUUUUCCACCCCCAAUCCUUCCACUUCUUUAAGAAUUUCAGAAAACUGUUAUUAACUGUGGCUUUAUUAUUACCUUUUAGUGAAGUGCAGGCUUAUUUGGGGCUAUCUAUUUUUUCUAUCAGUUUAAGCACAUACACACAUUACAGGAACAUAUCAUCAUGCAGAUGAAUGUUCUACUUUCUUCAAGUUUGUCAUUGUUCAUGAUUAAACUUGCACACAUAUACGAAGAAGCA
Molecule: long non-coding RNA, 3103 nt
Organism: Mus musculus (house mouse)
Lineage: Eukaryota; Metazoa; Chordata; Mammalia; Rodentia; Muridae
Gene: Platr6
Product: pluripotency associated transcript 6
Exons: 4
Source: RefSeq, a predicted model, not a curated record